This 111-nucleotide microRNA precursor is filed under the name Podarcis lilfordi (Lilford's wall lizard). The record is from RNAcentral. Lineage: Eukaryota; Metazoa; Chordata; Lepidosauria; Squamata; Lacertidae.
ACCUUAGAGACCAACUAAGUUUGUUCUAGGUAUAAGCUUUCGUGGUAUGUGAAGAAGUGUGCAUGCACACAAAAGCUUAUACCCAGAACAAACUUAGUUGGACUCUAAGGU